Molecule: ribosomal RNA, 252 nt
Filed under: uncultured Devosia sp.
Lineage: Bacteria; Pseudomonadati; Pseudomonadota; Alphaproteobacteria; Hyphomicrobiales; Devosiaceae
Description: partial 16S ribosomal RNA
Rfam family: Bacterial small subunit ribosomal RNA
Source: RNAcentral
UGGGGAAUAUUGGACAAUGUGCGCAAGCCUGAUCCAGCCAUGCCGCGUGAGUGAUGAAGGCCUUAGGGUUGUAAAGCUCUUUCAGUGGGGACGAUAAUGACGGUACCCACAGAAGAAGCCCCGGCUAACUUCGUGCCAGCAGCCGCGGUAAUCCGAAGGGGGCUAGCGUUGUUCGGAUUUACUGGGCGUAAAGCGCACGUAGGCGGAUCGUUAAGUCGGGGGUGAAAUCCUGGGGCUCAAAGCCAGAACUGC